Molecule: long non-coding RNA, 5056 nt
Filed under: Mytilus galloprovincialis (Mediterranean mussel)
Lineage: Eukaryota; Metazoa; Mollusca; Bivalvia; Mytilida; Mytilidae
Source: RNAcentral
CGUGGAGACUGUGUAUAGUCCAUAUGGGGUUCCUUGUGGGGUAAGUAGGCAGGUCUUAUACCAAUAUGAGUUAGUAGUUGUGUUACGUCCCUUUAUAAAAACAUCUCGGUGUUAUGGAAACAUCAUAAAGGGUUCAAUAGACGAAGAAAUUGACGAUAAAUCAUUGAAAUAGAUUUAUAAAACACAUUUUAGCUAACAAGUUGUUAUUGUUUGCAUUUGUUUUUGCAUAGACUAACGAAAGUAGGUUCUUAGUACUAACUGUAUAGAAUACUUGAUCACUUUGAUAGGCCACUAGUCUUAAUACCACAUGUUAAGAUAGUCGGUAAGAUAAAUUUACAAGACCUAUAACUUUUCUAAAAGCUAAGGAUUUUCUCAACCCAGGCAUAGAUUACUUUAGCCGUAUUCGGCACAACUAUUUGGAAUUUUGGGUCCUCAAUAGAUGUAGACGAAACGCGCGUCUAGCGUACUGAAUUAUAAUCCUGGUACCUUUGAUAACUAUUUGCACUUAGCAAAAAAAUGGUUCGGUUAUGAAAAGAAAGACGUAUGUUACGGUAGUUUGUUAGGCAAUACAUUCAUGUUAAUCGCCUUAUUUCAUAAUUCGCUUAAUCUUAAGUCUUUUAAAAUAUAAACAAAAACUUUAGUCCAAUUUAUUCAUAUCUAUUACACAGCAACGUUCACAAUCGUUAGGCAGCAACCAUUUGAUUGUCUGGGGGGGGGGGCUAUGUUUUUUUUCUGGACGCAUUUUUUUUUAAAAACAAUCUAUUUUUUUCGCGACAAGUUAAAAACAAUUUUUUUUCUUUUUCAAUUUUAGCAUUACAUAUAGUGGCAGCUGAGGGUGAAACAAACCCCCCCCCCCAGAAAAUCAAAUGGUUGCUGCCUUACUCUGUCUCCAGUGUUGAUCAACAAUAAUGACAUUUCCAAACAGCUAUAUUAUUAGUGACAUAGGGUGCUAGUGACUUAAUACGAUAUAUAGGAGGUCAAUAAAUUCCAUAGGGAGUCGGAGAACAAUGCUCGAAUCCCCAUAUGGCAUUUGCUGAUCCCAUAUAUAUCGUAUUACGUCAAUAGCACAUUAUGUUACUAAUCGUUAUCAAAGGUACCAGGAUUAUAAUUCAGUACGCUAGACGCGCGUUUCGUCUACAUAAGACUCAUCAGUGACGCUCAUAUCAAAAUAUUUAUAAAACCAAACACGUACAAAGUUGAAGAGCAUUGAGGAUCCGUUGAAAAACGUGUUAUGUUUGUUUUUUAUUUAAUUUUAAAACUUUGACAUUUAUCAUGUUAUUAAAUUUAUAUUAUUUAUAUCACAAUUAACCACAAAAGUCUGUAACUUUAAUUUAUAUAGAUCUUGGUUUACUAAUUAAUGUCUAGUUAAACACUGGACGUGUUAUUUAGUAAAAUACUAAAUUUAGAAAUGUACUAGUUACCUAAAAUUCCCUUGGUAGUUAAUUUAAAAAAAGCCAAUAGACAUCAUCUUCUGUUCAGUGCUUCAAUGCCUUGAUCAUUAUCAUGGCUAUGAUUGUGCAGGUAAUAUGGUCGGGAGAUAAAAGGUAUAAGAACAGGAAUAAAGUCAAAGCUAUCUGUUGUGUAUGCAUUUCUGGUGGACUUCUAAUCUCAUACAUAUAUGCAUUUCGCAAAUGAAUCAUUUUUGGUUUUUGAACUGGUUCUGUUUUUUUUUUGUAAAUGUUUGUUUGUCUUGAGAUUGUAACAGAGUGAUGACUGCUGUAACCAUAUUUUGACUAUUUUACCGUCUGUUUUGUUCACGCAUCGUUGUAAAAAAAACCGGAAUUUGAUGCAACUGUCAUAAAAGUGAGAGAUUUAGCGCUAUAAAACCAGGUUCAAUCCACCAUUUUCUACAUUUGAAAAUGCAUGUACCAAGUCAGGAAUAUGACAGUUGUUGUCCAUUUGUUUGAUGUGUUUUAUCUUUUGAUUUUGUCAUUUGAUUCCUUAUACCGCUGUUUAAUACUAGUACCUAUAAAUCGAUCCCAACUAAAACCGAGGGAAACAAUUCAACUAUAACAGAAAAACAAGAGGACAAUAGAAACACUGAACUGCAAGAAAAACAAACGCAAACAUACAUAGAAACGGACAACUAGAUAACUGCCAUAUUCAUGACUUGGCACAGGUCAUUUUAUGGAAAAAAAUGGUGAGUUGAACCUGGUUUUAUAGCUAGCAAAAAUUUUCGCCUAUAUAUGGAAAUGUAAAAAAAAAACCAGCAAGAAUGAUAACAUUUCGUUAAAAGGAUACAUUAAAAAUAAACGCAAGAACACUCAGGACAGAGAAAUACAUGAAUAGAUAUUACCAUACUACAUAACAACAGAAUAACAACAAACACCUCUCAUGAAAUGUAACAGUGUCAUGUGUAUUGUAAAUAUUCAAUGUGCUUUGCGAUUGUUAUUUGAGGUAACAGAUCCUUACAAUAAAAUAGGGAAAGGCUUUAAAAGAGUAACUCUAGUUGAGAACGUUGGUAGACUACAGACUGAAGAAGCGUAGAUCGACAGGCAGACAUGCAUAUGUGAACUGUUACACAUUGAAGUUAAAGUAAAACAAAACAUGUGAAGAACAAACAAAAGCAGAAAAUUUACAGAACUAAGUUCGGACAUUCAAAUCCCGACCAUAUCCUUAGCGAACCGAAAUUAAGAUUUACAUACCCGUUUGCAGGAUAGUUUUGGUAUUUCACUUGGUAUAUGUGAGCUGUGUAACGAAUUGUUCAUAUAAUUUAGGUUUUACACAGUAAACAAACCAUCCAUUUUUUUUUCUAUUGUGACAAUACUGAAUAUGACCUAUGACCGUCUGUUUACUAUAUUGGUGGAAAACAGCGUAACUGUUAUGUUUCGUCUACAAAAAAAUCAUCAGUGACACUCGAAUAAAAGUUAAGAUGUAAAAUAAAGUACGAAGAGCAUUAUGGACUUUAAAUUCCGAAAGUAAUUUUUUCUUGUUGUUUUUCCUUUUUUUUUCGUGACCUGAAGAGUAUAAACAAUCUGCAUGCAGUAUGAUCAAUAUGUAAAUCAAGGGCUAAUAUUUGAUUUCGAAAUUUGAUGAUAAAUGAUAAAUGAAAAGUAUUUGAUAGGGAUAGAGAUCUUGCAAAACAAACCUACGCAUGUUGGAGGAGAAUCAAUACCCUGGGACUAAACUUACUAAUUCUAUUCAGAGGUUGUCUCCACUUGUUAUCUUGAGUCCUCCCCCCCCCCCCACACACACGAAAGAGCUAUCUAAGAGAUUUUUUAAAUAUUCCGUAUGUAUAUGUCUCGUUCAAUAUAUAAGAUCAGAUGAAGAUUCAUUAACUAUUUUUCAAACAUUUUAUUGACUUUCAACAAUCUGUAUUCUAUUGUAUAAUUUACCUAUAUCUUAUUUAAAAACUUCUGUAACAUUAAGGAAAUAGACAAGAAAAAUGACUAACGCUGUCAAAUUGAUACAUGAUAAUUUUAGUAUUUGAUUGACGUCUUUACAUAAAUACCUUUUCAGUACAAAUAAGUAAAUUUUGUUUUUGUCAAUGGCUAUGACCCAUAUAUGUCUUUUUAAGUCUUCGUUCCAUAUUCAUUCAUUAUUUCUUACUAUUCUUACAAAUAUAAACUUGGCACUGCUAGAGUUUUGGAUUAUUUCUUCUAUUAAGAAACAUGACUUAUUAAAAAAUAAGCCUUAUUUACAAUAAACCAAUGGGCGGAGUAACUCCCAAGUACAGUUAGGUAAAAGAAAUAGGACUAUAAGAGGUAAAUCAUGGAGAGGAUAUUGACAUUUCGAUUGUUCCGAUAUAGCCGGUAAGUUGCUUUUUUUCACUCAUGCAUUUUUGUAAAUUAUAUAUUUUUUAGAACUUCCUUCUUUUUUGUUUCACUAACUAUGCCAGAAUCUUAAAGAUGAUCAAAGAGUCCUGAUGACAUAAGUCACAUAUUUGUAGCAAUUCGUUAAUUAAACAUGAGGUAUGAUUUCCGUUUAGACAACGUGUGUUUCUGAAGUAACCUUCAUCCGCUCACUAAAAAAUAACCUUUAAAAAACCGCUAGAGAGCAAACCAUUUACAACAGUACAACCAAAACAUCAGACCUGCCUGAAAGGAAUUUGAAUUACCAAAAGCACAAUUAAAAAUGAAUAUAUAUAUAUUAAUGAACUGAAAUUUACAGACAAUUAUCACACAUAUAUUAAUCCUUGAGGACAUGCUUAAAUAAAAGAGUAAAAGUAUACACUUACAACGCAAUGUUUUAAUAAAAUUUCGCCAUGGCAAACUUUUUAUUACCUUAACUCCUGUUGUCUAACCUGUCUAGAUACCAUCGUAUAGUUCAAUAUGAGUGGCCUUAAACUCGAUUAAAAAUUACUUUUUUUCAGAACAAAACAUAAUGAAUAAUUCAUUAAUAGUUCCAUGGAAAUUAGUGUUGGUGCUAUUGAUCAUGUGUGGUGGAAGUUUUUCUUGCAAACGAAAAUUUAUCAGAGAAGUCAUAGAAAGAGAAAAUUGUCUCAGAAAAGCAGUUCUGAACUUUAUUUGCAUCGGGAGUUGUCAUCAAAGAGAGAGUGAGCAUUCUCAAUGCAGUAUCACAAUCAUAAGACAGAAAACAGUACGUCUGUGGUGUACCAAUGAACAUGGGAGCAUUGUUAGAAAAAAUGUAACUAUACCUAUUCCAGCAUCGUGCUCAUGCACACAAAGGUCUUUGGAUUAUGUAUACAUGCCAUUAACGAGAUAACAAUGAUAUUCAAAUUGUAACAAUAUAAAUCAUAUUCCCUUGUGCCAAAUACAAAGAAUACCAGGAGCGUUGCAAUAUUCAUUUAUUUAUUUAUUUGACAUCAAAACAAUCACCAUUUUCAAUUCAUUUAUUCAUAUUAUGUGACAAUUAACUUAUUCAUAAGUAGUAACAUAUCAAAACAGUGGUGUGACAAUUAACUUAUUCAUAAGUAGUAACAUAUCAAAACAGUGGACUACAAUCAAUUAAGCUCGGAGCUACCAUACCGUUACAGAAGUAACAAACAUUACAGUCAUUUGAAAAAUCAUAGUCAGAUUUGUUCUAACAGACAAGUCGGGUUGUACUGUUGUGAAGUUGUAAAAGAAAAGUUGAAUGAAAAGGGUGGAGUCAGCAC